AGGCGAUUCGGUGAAGAACUCCUC
RNAcentral lists this non-coding RNA (24 nucleotides) under Arabidopsis thaliana (thale cress). Lineage: Eukaryota; Viridiplantae; Streptophyta; Magnoliopsida; Brassicales; Brassicaceae. The record is from RNAcentral.